UUUCCAGCAUCUGCAGAAUUUUCCUCGUGUUUGAGUUUUUAAAUAGCAUCGGUUGCGUGUUCAAAAGGCAGUGAUUUUUGUCGCUGACAAUUGGCAAGUAAAAAACAGUAUGACAAUUCAGGACUGUUUUGCUCACUGAGGCUUCAAGCAUUCAGUCUUGGAAAUGCCAGAAAUGGCUGGGAGCGAAAAUGUAAACGAUUUCACCGCUUGAAGAGUUAGGACCUGUGAAGAAUUUUACGGGAGAACAAAACUACAGCUGUGAGGAGCCCUGCAUCACCUGGUGACCUGUGACCUCCGUCUCAGGGGCCGAUGUCAGGCUGUCCUUCAGGAGGAUGAAUCCUUGCAAGGUGGCAGACACCACAAUCACAAGGCGCUGCUGGACAUUAAGAAAUUAAAGUUCUGCCGACCUACCCCAUCAGUGAGUUGCUCGGUGGCAGAGAGGCUGGACAUGGCGUGGAUCGUGCUGCUGCCUGCAUCAGAGACGUGUCGGAGGAGUCGGUUUGCAGAGGAGGUGUACUGUCUAACAGCGACUGAUCACCUUAGUUGCUAUUCCUGUGAUCACAAGACCCUGCUGGACAUUGUUAAUGUGGAAUGCUGCGAGCCCAGUUCACUGAUUUAUUGGUAAACAGUAGGGAGCUGCAUGGCCUUAGUUGGAGUGACGACAAGGCCUCAGGCCACAGUGUCGCCUGUUUACAGCCACCCAGGAAGGAGGCAUCGGAGUCGGUGUGCUCCACCAGAGGCGGUGUGGCGUGGCGUCCCAGCUGCCCCCAGUGUUCACUCGGCAGAAAAGCAGCUGCAUUGUGUUCGACAGCAGACCGUGCAACAUUCAUGGACUCAGGGUCCUGGACUGUAUUUUACUGAUAUCUUAAGUAUGUUUCCUAUCUCAUACAUGGCUUGUGCUGUGUGUGACUGUCGGUACUGUGUCUUACACCUUGGCCCUGGACCAUUCCCUCAACCACUUUGUUGGUAUUCAUGUAUGGUUAAAUGACAAAUGAACUUGAACUUGGUAGAUCAGCUGCUUGAGUGGAGUCACAGCAACAGCACUUAACAGAAGACCAAGGAAUUGAUUGAGGGCUUCAGGAAGAUGAAGUUGAAGAAACACACACCAGUCCUUCUUGAGGGAUCAGAAGUUUCAACAUCUCUGAGGAUCUAUCCUGAGCUCAACAUAUUGAUGCAAUUACAAAGAAGGCACAACAGCAGCUAUAUCUCAUUAGGAGUUUGAGGAGAAUUGGUAUUUCCCAAACGCACGCACAAAUUUCUACAAAUGUACCAUGAAGAGCAUUUUAACUGGUUGCAUCACUAUCUGGUAUGGAGGGGCCACUGCACAGGACCAGAAAAAGCUUGUAAACUCAUCAUGGCACUAGCCUCGCCAGCAUCCAGGACACCUUGAAAAGGCAAUGGGUUAAAAGUUGACGGCUCGGAAAGGCGGCAUGUAUCAUUAAGGACACUAAUUGCCCAGGACAUGCCCUCUUCUCAUUGCUGCUAUCAAGGAGGAGGUACAAGAGCCUGAAGACACACACUUAACAUUUCAGGAACAGCUUCUUCCCAUCCACCAUCAGAUUUCUGAAUGGACAAUGAACCCAUGAAGGCUACCUCUGUCUUUUCCCUCUCUUUUUGCAUUACUUAUUUAAUUUAGUUUUCUUUUCCUAUAUAUAGUUAAUGUAAUGUAUAGUUUUUAUUAUUAUAUAUUGCAAUCUACUGAUGUUGCAAAGCAA
This is a long non-coding RNA of Mobula hypostoma (lesser devil ray), 1715 nucleotides long. RefSeq lists it as uncharacterized. The record is from RefSeq and is a predicted model, not a curated record. Lineage: Eukaryota; Metazoa; Chordata; Chondrichthyes; Myliobatiformes; Myliobatidae. The transcript has 3 exons.